UAAAUAAAAAUAGCAAGAAUGAGCUAUUAAAAAAAGAUUGAACGAAGAGUUUGAUCCUGGCUCAGGAUGAACGCUGACAGAAUGCUUAACACAUGCAAGUCAACUUGAACUUCGGUUUGGGUG
RNAcentral lists this ribosomal RNA (123 nucleotides) under Fusobacterium polymorphum. The record is from RNAcentral. Lineage: Bacteria; Fusobacteriati; Fusobacteriota; Fusobacteriia; Fusobacteriales; Fusobacteriaceae.